GAAAGAAUUCAAUGUGUGCAGUGAUCUCUAUUAUUCCAAAUCCAACUUGUUCGUGCUGCCUAUAAAUGCAUACCAUACCGCACCCCAUAGCAAUACACACUUGCAGACUCCACACAAAAAAAGCAAAGAAAAAACCCACGAUAGGUGGGAAGGGAGAGGAGAGGGAGCGCAAGGAAAGGGAGGAGUCCCUAGCUCUAGAACCAAAAAUACCAGGGUGGCUAGCUUCUGCUGGAUUGCCAUGCGCUAUGAGGUAGAGAACGGGAUGCAGCCAAGGAUGACUUGCCGGCUCCUCAAAUUUGAAGCGUCGUCUAAGCUGCUGAGGCUUAAUAAAAACUUAGUCGGCAAGUCUGUCCUUGGCUACACCUAGUUCUCUUCCUCUCGUGUAUGGCCCUCAAGCACCGUCAAAAGAGCUCUAAGAUCUGCAUUCAUAUCAGCUCCAUAAGGAAGUGUAAGGACAGACCAAAUAAAGUGAAGUACAACAUGCACUUGCACGACAAGAUUCCUCAAGGCUCCUCUGCUCAGCAACAGCAAAUGUCAUAUAUAGCAUCCACAGUAGAUUGUUGAAACAAAAGGAAGCAUGUAGCAUGCAGGACAGCAUCGGGGCAGAAAGCGAGCAUCAACCAUGGAGUUGAUGUGUACCAUGUAGAGGAAGUGUUGCAUUCCUUUAUUCAAAAGGUUAAGCUUUCCUCGUGUAAUCAGUAAUUGUGGUCCUGCUUCAUGUGAAAAAGAUGCUUAUGAAUACCAAGAGAUUGGCCGACCAAAGCCUAAAAACGA
This is a long non-coding RNA of Sorghum bicolor (sorghum), 774 nucleotides long. RefSeq lists it as uncharacterized. The record is from RefSeq and is a predicted model, not a curated record. The transcript has 2 exons. Lineage: Eukaryota; Viridiplantae; Streptophyta; Magnoliopsida; Poales; Poaceae.